This is a long non-coding RNA of Paramisgurnus dabryanus, 1215 nucleotides long. RefSeq lists it as uncharacterized. NCBI's taxonomy places the organism in Eukaryota, Metazoa, Chordata, Actinopteri, Cypriniformes, Cobitidae. The record is from RefSeq and is a predicted model, not a curated record.
ACGCAUCCAUAUCUACGCAUGUGCAAUGCUUUUCGACUUUCCCGCCCAUAAAGUCAUCUUUAUGGAUUUGUCUGCACACAACGGAAUAUGUUCCAAGGUAAAGUAUUACUUUAUCAACUUGUGAUUUACUUGUUAACUUGUAUAAUAUCAUAAACAACUUAUAUUUACUUUAUAUUAAACCGUUUGUGUGAACAUUAAUUUGCUGGAGCAUUUGCACUGCACAUUUCACUAUUAAAGAGGAGUAUGAAUAUUUCUUAUUUAACAAAAAAUAUCAACGUUAAGUAAAUAUCUUUUAACAUAAAAACACGAAGUAUAGAUAAAUUGUAGCAUACGUGUAAGUUGAUAUUAAGUUAACUGUCUGUGUUUUUACCUCAGGUAAACUCAGCAAGCUUUCAAAGUUACUUAAGAUGCUGGCGAUAAGUCUUGAGGUCUGAACAAUUUUACAGGACACCACCAUCGCUAAAAGCAAAGCGGCUCAAUUCUUUAAUGGAGAACAGCAGAGAUGUUGCACAGUAAGGGCAAGAACGCAGUACAAAGACACAAGAAAGUAUGUAAAACUAAAAAAAAAACAUUUAUUUUUAAAACCGAGCUGACUUAAACCACUAUAAUUUAUGACACUUGCAUUACAUGUGAACAGCCCCUACGCUAAUAGGAUUCUGUUUCUCUCUCCCUGUCUCAUCCUCGACCCUGAGGACAAUGAGACAAACAGACCCAGUUCCUGCUGCUGUGAAGGUCAUCACACCACUGAUCUACUGACCGUCCUUCUACGAGAUGCCCAGCCAAUGCCUGACCAGCAACCACCGGCGGAACCAGUUUAAUUCGCUUACCCGUUCACAUACCCCGAUAGUAUUUAUAUAUAUAUAAAUAUAUAUGUAUCUCUCUCAAGGGUUUUUCCCUGGACUAGCCAGGAGGGUUUUCUCCUAGGGGUUUUUUUUCAUCCCCUGGAGAGUCCACCACCUUUGGCUUAACCUACUACUUUACUGUAUAUGUUACAUUAUUACUAUGCUCGCUUUUCUAUGCUUUUUUUACAUUUAUUAAUGUAAAGCUGCUUUGAAACAAUUGGCAAUUGUCAAAAGCGCUAUAUAAAUAAAAUUGAAUUCAAUAUUUAAUGUUAUAUUUAAUUAGACUGAGUGUAUAUUUACAAACCAUAGUGACAUUGAGAUGAUUUCAUGGAUUACAUGUUGAAUUGUUGUAUUAUUUAUGUAAAAUUUUAUU